GGUGUUCGCCUAAGCCAUGCGAGUCAUAUGUUCUUCGUGAACAUGGCGUACUGCUCAGUAACACGUGGAUAACCUGCCCUUGGGUCCGGCAUAACCCCGGGAAACUGGAGAUAAUUCCGGAUAACGCACAUAUGCUGGAAUGCUUUAUGCGUAAAAUGGAUUCGUCUGCCCAAGGAUGGGUCUGCGGCCUAUCAGGUAGUAGUGGGUGUAAUGUACCUACUAGCCAACAACGGGUACGGGUUGUGAGAGCAAGAGCCCGGAGAUGGAUUCUGAGACAUGAAUCCAGGCCCUACGGGGCGCAGCAGGCGCGAAAACUUUACAAUGCGGGAAACCGUGAUAAGGGGACACCGAGUGCCAGCGUCAUACGCUGGCUGUCCAGGUGUGUAAAAUACACCUGUUAGCAAGGGCCGGGCAAGACCGGUGCCAGCCGCCGCGGUAACACCGGCGGCCCGAGUGGUGAUCGUGAUUAUUGGGUCUAAAGGGUCCGUAGCCGGUUUGGUCAGUCC
This 506-nucleotide ribosomal RNA is filed under the name methanogenic archaeon F4/P-3. RNAcentral's name for it is "bacterial SSU rRNA". It matches the Rfam family "Archaeal small subunit ribosomal RNA", at positions 35 to 540 of the family's 1478-position model. Lineage: Archaea; Methanobacteriati; Methanobacteriota. The record is from RNAcentral.